Molecule: unclassified non-coding RNA, 361 nt
Filed under: soil metagenome
Description: partial contains 5.8S ribosomal RNA, internal transcribed spacer 2, and large subunit ribosomal RNA
Rfam family: 5.8S ribosomal RNA (bases 1-120)
Source: RNAcentral
GAUGAAGAACGUAGCGAAAUGCGAUAAGUAAUGUGAAUUGCAGAAUUCAGUGAAUCAUUGAAUCAUUGAACGCACCUUGCGCUCCUUGGUAUUCCGGGGAGCAUGCCUGUUUGAGUGUCAUUAAUAUAUCAACCUUCUCUUUUUGAGUUGUUUGGAUGUGGGGGUUUGCUGGCCUCUUAAAUGAUUCAGCUCCCCUGAAAUGCAUUAGCAGAACAACCUGUUCAUUGGCGUGAUAAUUAUCUAUGCUAUUGAAUGUGAGGGCAGUUCAGCUUUCUAACCGUCCUUGGACAAUUCAUCAUUAAUGUGACCUCAAAUCAGGUAGGACUACCCGCUGAACUUAAGCAUAUCAAUAAGCGGAGGA